Molecule: ribosomal RNA, 970 nt
Filed under: Alteromonas sp.
Lineage: Bacteria; Pseudomonadati; Pseudomonadota; Gammaproteobacteria; Alteromonadales; Alteromonadaceae
Description: bacterial SSU rRNA
Rfam family: Bacterial small subunit ribosomal RNA
Source: RNAcentral
CUGCAGUCGAACGGUAGCAGGAAGUGCUUGCACUUNGCUGACGAGUGGCGGACGGGUGAGUAAUGCUUGGGAACUUGCCUUUGCGAGGGGGAUAACAGUUGGAAACGACUGCUAAUACCGCAUAAUGUCUACGGACCAAACGGGGCUUAGGCUUCGGCGCAGAGAGAGGCCCAAGUGAGAUUAGCUAGUUGGUGGGGUAAAGGCUCACCAAGGCGACGAUCUCUAGCUGUUCUGAGAGGAAGAUCAGCCACACUGGGACUGAGACACGGCCCAGACUCCUACGGGAGGCAGCAGUGGGGAAUAUUGCACAAUGGGGGGAACCCUGAUGCAGCCAUGCCGCGUGUGUGAAGAAGGCCUUCGGGUUGUAAAGCACUUUCAGUUGUGAGGAAAAGUGAGUAGUUAAUACCUGCUCACCGUGACGUUAACAACAGAAGAAGCACCGGCUAACUCCGUGCCAGCAGCCGCGGUAAUACGGAGGGUGCGAGCGUUAAUCGGAAUUACUGGGCGUAAAGCGCACGCAGGCGGUUUGUUAAGCUAGAUGUGAAAGCCCCGAGCUCAACUUGGGAUGGUCAUUUAGAACUGGCAGACUAGAGUCUUGGAGAGGGGAGUGGAAUUCCAGGUGUAGCGGUGAAAUGCGUAGAUAUCUGGAGGAACAUCAGUGGCGAAGGCGACUCCCUGGCCAAAGACUGACGCUCAUGUGCGAAAGUGUGGGUAGCGAACAGGAUUAGAUACCCUGGUAGUCCACACCGUAAACGCUGUCUACUAGCUGUUUGUGGCUUUAAGCCGUGAGUAGCGAAGCUAACGCGAUAAGUAGACCGCCUGGGGAGUACGGCCGCAAGGUUAAAACUCAAAUGAAUUGACGGGGGCCCGCACAAGCGGUGGAGCAUGUGGUUUAAUUCGAUGCAACGCGAAGAACCUUACCUACACUUGACAUGCAGAGAACUUUCCAGAGAUGGAUUGGUGCCUUCGG